GUACAGCGGCGCACGGGUGAGUAACGCGUGGGUAACCUACCUCUGGGUUUGGGAUAACUCGGGGAAACCUGAGCUAAUACCGAGUAAGCCCACGAGUUCUUCGGAACACGUGGGAAAAGGUGGCCUCUUCAUGAAAGCUAUCGCCCGGAGAUGAGCCCGCGUCCCAUUAGUUUGUUGGUGAGGUAACGGCUCACCAAGGCUCCGAUGGGUAGCUGGUCUGAGAGGACGAUCAGCCACACUGGAACUGAGACACGGUCCAGACUCCUACGGGAGGCAGCAGUCGGGAAUUUUGGGCAAUGGGCGCAAGCCUGACCCAGCAACGCCGCGUGUGGGAUGAAGGCCUUCGGGUCGUAAACCACUGUCAGGAGGGAAGAACGGCUUCGGAGCGAACAACUCCGAGGAGUGACGGUACCUCCAAAGGAAGCGCCGGCUAACUCCGUGCCAGCAGCCGCGGUAAUACGGAGGGCGCGAGCGUUGUUCGGAAUCACUGGGCGUAAAGCGCGUGUAGGCGGUCUCGUAAGUCGGAUGUGAAAGCCCGAGGCUCAACCUCGGAGGUGCAUCCGAAACUGCGGGGCUAGAGUCCCGGAGAGGGUGGCGGAAUUCCCGGUGUAGGGGUGAAAUCCGUAGAUAUCGGGAGGAACACCAGUGGCGAAGGCGGCCACCUGGACGGUGACUGACGCUGAGACGCGAAAGCGUGGGGAGCAAACAGGAUUAGAUACCCUGGUAGUCCACGCCGUAAACGGUGGGUGCUAGGCG
RNAcentral lists this ribosomal RNA (756 nucleotides) under uncultured bacterium. RNAcentral's name for it is "bacterial SSU rRNA". It matches the Rfam family "Bacterial small subunit ribosomal RNA", at positions 90 to 822 of the family's 1533-position model. The record is from RNAcentral.